Long non-coding RNA from Diachasma alloeum, 586 nucleotides. RefSeq lists it as uncharacterized. Lineage: Eukaryota; Metazoa; Arthropoda; Insecta; Hymenoptera; Braconidae. The transcript has 3 exons. The record is from RefSeq and is a predicted model, not a curated record.
UCGAGGCAGAGACAUCAAGAUUAACCUCUAGUGUGACAGUAAAAUUAUUCUCCAAUUUCCCUGAGAAUGAAUAACCUCCUUGUUUUUAUUAUUGCUUCAACUAUCUUUACCAUCUGUGAAUCUCUACAAUGUUACUCCUGCAGCGGCUGCAAAGAACCUUUCGACUCAGCAGCGGCUAGCGUUCUCAACUGCACUAAAAUAAUUGGAACCGGAGGUGUUUGUGCAAAAGCACUUGCAAAAUUCCUUAGCGGGAAAGAAUUAUCCUUCCGCUAUUGUGGAAGAAUCCCCACUAUCUCCUCAACAGACGUCCAAACACCGUCAUUUAGGGUCGACAGCGAUGUCGUAUCUCUACAUGAAUUUUACUGUUUCAAGGAUUUCUGCAAUGACGCUCCAUCAUUCUACUCACCACUUUGGGUAUUGAUGGCGAGCGUCGGCUGUAUUUUUUUGUUCGGGCGUGGUGGACAUUAAUUACAUGAAAUUAUAAUAAUUAUAACAAAUAAGCAAACAAACAAACAAAACAACAAACAAAAUUAUUUUAUUAAUACAUAAUAUUGUAUGAAUAUAAAUUCAAACAAUUUGCUACCGA